RNAcentral lists this ribosomal RNA (509 nucleotides) under Fusarium sp. USS-6. RNAcentral describes it as "eukaryotic LSU rRNA". The stretch from base 120 to 273 matches the Rfam family "5.8S ribosomal RNA". Lineage: Eukaryota; Fungi; Ascomycota; Sordariomycetes; Hypocreales; Nectriaceae. The record is from RNAcentral.
GGGGCGUUCUUGUCCCUGCGGCGGAUCAGCUCGCUCCCUGUAAACGGGACGGCCCGCCAGAGGACCCAAACUCUAUGUCUUUUAGUGUAUCUUCUGAGUAACACAAACAAAUAAAUCAAAACUUUCAACAACGGAUCUCUUGGUUCUGGCAUCGAUGAAGAACGCAGCAAAAUGCGAUAAGUAAUGUGAAUUGCAGAAUUCAGUGAAUCAUCGAAUCUUUGAACGCACAUUGCGCCCGCCAGUAUUCUGGCGGGCAUGCCUGUUCGAGCGUCAUUUCAACCCUCAAACCCCCGGGUUUGGUGUUGGGGAUCGGCGAGCGUCUGCCUGGCAGACCAGCCGGCCCCGAAAUCUAGUGGCGGUCUCGCUGUAGCCUCCAUUGCGUAGUAGCUAACACCUCGCAACUGGAACGCAGCGCGGCCAAGCCGUAAAACACCCCAACUUCUGAGGCGGAAAUCACACCCCUGCAGAAAAAAAUUAACCCGGGGAACUACAUUUUCCCAACCUCCCCC